This 75-nucleotide transfer RNA is filed under the name Planctomycetaceae bacterium. RNAcentral's name for it is "tRNA-Pro". It matches the Rfam family "tRNA". Rfam says of the family: Transfer RNA (tRNA) molecules are approximately 80 nucleotides in length. Their secondary structure includes four short double-helical elements and three loops (D, anti-codon, and T loops). RNAcentral also lists the same sequence under 2 other names. Lineage: Bacteria; Pseudomonadati; Planctomycetota; Planctomycetia; Planctomycetales; Planctomycetaceae. The record is from RNAcentral.
CGGGGCGUAGCGCAGCCUGGCUAGCGCGCCUGCUUUGGGAGCAGGAGGUCGGGAGUUCGAAUCUCCCCGCCCCGA